RNAcentral lists this ribosomal RNA (253 nucleotides) under uncultured bacterium. RNAcentral describes it as "partial 16S ribosomal RNA". It matches the Rfam family "Bacterial small subunit ribosomal RNA", at positions 524 to 776 of the family's 1533-position model. The record is from RNAcentral.
GACAGAGGGUGCAAACGUUGUUCGGAAUUACUGGGCAUAAAGAGCGCGUAGGCGGUCCGCUAAGUUUGGUGUGAAAUCCCCCGGCUCAACCGGGGAAUUGCGCCGAAUACUGGCGGGCUCGAGGUCGAUAGGGGUAAGCGGAACUCCAGGUGGAGCGGUGAAAUGCGUAGAUAUCUGGAGGAACACCGGUGGCGUAAGCGGCUUACUGGAUCGAAUCUGACGCUGGAGCGCGAAAGCUAGGGUAGCAAACGGG